Molecule: long non-coding RNA, 955 nt
Filed under: Homo sapiens (human)
Lineage: Eukaryota; Metazoa; Chordata; Mammalia; Primates; Hominidae
Description: HSALNT0393795
Source: RNAcentral
UGUGGCUGGAGGGGUGCCAGAGGGGGAAAAUAGAGGAGGGUUAACUAGAGAUGAAGAAGUCAUUACCGACCCGGCUGGCCCCAAGCCUACACCAGCUACCCGUUGCCCCGGGAGCCAGAGGCUGCUGCUGUGGCCAGCAUGGACAGCACUAAACCAAAGCCGCCUCUGUUCUCCACUGCUGGCAGGACCAAGCUGAGACCAGGACCAAAACUGUGGGAUGUGUUGGCCACAUACUUCCAGCCCCACAGCACACAGCAGGCAUGGAGGGCGGGUACAGGGCCCAGCAGGACAGAAAAUCUGCUGGAGCAGAUUCCUGGGAACAGCGUGUCCCUCCUCUUCAGAGGUCUCCUCUUCUUUUCUGAAGCUUUACAGAUAGAUUAUAGAAAAUGACCAGCAUGCAUGAUCCUUGUCUUGUUUCCCAUGUCUAGAAGAAAGCUUGAUCAUCUCAUUAUUAAAGCCAUGAUGACUGUUGAAUUUUAAUAAAGGUACUGUACUGGGUUGCAAAUGAAAGAGAAAUAAGUAUAAAUAUAAAGGAAGAAGAGAACACUAUCCACAGAGAGCAGGAAUUCCAGCCUGGAGUGAAGUAACUGCCAUGAACCACGUGUCUUUCCAAAACAUGCCAGGAAAUUUUGCUAUCCAGAUUCACCUGGACCUCGUAAGUCUCUUUCUGGACCCUUCAAGGACCCUGUCAACAGUGGCUGAAACCAGAAAUGUACCUGAAAGGGCAGCUUCUAGUAGAACUGUAACAGUUUCUGGCCUUUCUGUCUAGGGAGCUUCAGCCCACCUCCAGGAACAGAGACCAUAGAUUGAAGAAGCUGAAAGUCUGCUGGAGAUCUGUUUUUCCAAGAGUGGUUCAAGAAUCAUUAGGGCACUCCAGUAAGAGCUCAUUGUGGCUUUAUUUUUUUAUUUUAUUUUAUUUUAUUUUGAGACGGAGUCUCGCUCUGUUGCCAAGGCU